Non-coding RNA from Pelobates cultripes (western spadefoot toad), 86 nucleotides. The record is from the annotation of a GenBank genome assembly. Lineage: Eukaryota; Metazoa; Chordata; Amphibia; Anura; Pelobatidae.
GUUGUUGUGGCAGUCCUGGCACUGGAAGCCCUUGCCCAUUACUGUAAUAGGCAGGGGGCUCCCAGUGCCAGGUCUGCAACAACACU